AAGCUCGUAGUUGAAUUUCGAGACCGGCUUACUGGUCGUGCUAUUGUACGUACUGGUAUAAUCGGUUUCUCCUUUCUGACGAACUAUAAUGCCAUUAAUUUGGUGUUUUAGGGAAUCAGGACUGUUACUUUGAAAAAAUUAGAGUGUUUAAAGCAGGCUCACGCUUGAAUACAUUAGCAUGGAAUAACGGAAUAGGACGUUUGAUUCUAUUUUGUUGGUUUCUAGGAUCGACGUAAUGAUUAAUAGGGAUAGUUGGG
RNAcentral lists this ribosomal RNA (257 nucleotides) under uncultured Glomus. Its description in RNAcentral is "partial 18S ribosomal RNA". It matches the Rfam family "Eukaryotic small subunit ribosomal RNA", at positions 624 to 886 of the family's 1831-position model. The record is from RNAcentral. Lineage: Eukaryota; Fungi; Glomeromycota; Glomeromycetes; Glomerales; Glomeraceae.